UUCGGUGGUCAUAGCGUGAGGGAAACGCCCGGUUACAUUCCGAACCCGGAAGCUAAGCCUCACAGCGCCGAUGGUACUGCAGGGGGG
RNAcentral lists this ribosomal RNA (87 nucleotides) under Streptomyces echinatus. The record is from RNAcentral. Lineage: Bacteria; Bacillati; Actinomycetota; Actinomycetes; Kitasatosporales; Streptomycetaceae.